RNAcentral lists this unclassified non-coding RNA (253 nucleotides) under uncultured Parcubacteria group bacterium. RNAcentral describes it as "contains 16S-23S intergenic spacer region". It matches the Rfam family "Bacterial small subunit ribosomal RNA", at positions 524 to 776 of the family's 1533-position model. The record is from RNAcentral.
UACGAGUGCCCCAAGCGUUAUCCGGAAUCAUUGGGCGUAAAGGGUGUGUAGGCGGUUGUGUUAGUCUUCUGUUAAAUUCUUCGGCUUAACCGGGGGCAUGCAGAGGAAACGGCACGACUAGAGGAUGCGAGAGGUGAAUGGAACUCAUGGAGUAGGGGUGAAAUCCGUUGAUAUCAUGGGGAACACCAAAAGCGAAGGCAAUUCACUGGCGCACUCCUGACGCUGAGACACGAAAGCGUAGGUAGCGAAUGGG